CACGUAAGGAGCGAGCGUUGUUCGGAAUUAUUGGGCGUAAAGGGCGUCUAGGCGGUUAGAUAAGUCUUGAUUGAAAGACCGGUGCUCAACACCGGGAACGGUCAGGAAACUGUUUAACUAGAAUCCGGUAGGGAAAUGUGGAAUUCCUAGUGUAGGGGUGAAAUCUGUUGAUAUUAGGAAGAACACCAAUGGCGAAGGCAACAUUUUGGGCCUGGAUUGACGCUGAAGCGCGAAAGCAUAGGGAGCAAACAGG
This 253-nucleotide ribosomal RNA is filed under the name uncultured bacterium. RNAcentral's name for it is "partial 16S ribosomal RNA". It matches the Rfam family "Bacterial small subunit ribosomal RNA", at positions 524 to 776 of the family's 1533-position model. The record is from RNAcentral.